GAUGAACGCUGGCGGCGUGCCUAAUACAUGCAAGUCGAGCGAACAGACGAGGAGCUUGCUCCUCUGACGUUAGCGGCGGACGGGUGAGUAACACGUGGAUAACCUACCUAUAAGACUGGGAUAACUUCGGGAAACCGGAGCUAAUACCGGAUAAUAUAUUGAACCGCAUGGUUCAAUAGUGAAAGACGGUUUUGCUGUCACGUAUAGAUGGAUCCGCGCCGCAUUAGCUAGUUGGUAAGGUAACGGCUUACCAAGGCAACGAUGCGUAGCCGACCUGAGAGGGUGAUCGGACACCCUGGAAGUGGACCACGGUCCAGACUCCUACGGGAGGCAGCCGUAGGGAAUCUUCCGCAAAGGGCGAAAGCCUGACGGAGCAACGCCGCGUGGGUGAUGAAGGUCUUCGGAUCGUAAAGCUCUGUUAUUAGGGAAGAACAAAUGUGUAAGUAACUAUGCACGUCUUGACGGUACCUAAUCAGAAAGCCACGGCUAACUACGUG
RNAcentral lists this ribosomal RNA (497 nucleotides) under uncultured bacterium. RNAcentral's name for it is "partial 16S ribosomal RNA". It matches the Rfam family "Bacterial small subunit ribosomal RNA", at positions 28 to 507 of the family's 1533-position model. The record is from RNAcentral.